RNAcentral lists this ribosomal RNA (510 nucleotides) under uncultured bacterium. RNAcentral describes it as "partial 16S ribosomal RNA". It matches the Rfam family "Bacterial small subunit ribosomal RNA", at positions 28 to 507 of the family's 1533-position model. The record is from RNAcentral.
GACGAACGCUGGCGGCGUGCUUAACACAUGCAAGUCGAACGAAGAGCGAUGGAAGCUUGCUUCUAUCAAUCUUAGUGGCGAACGGGUGAGUAACGCGUAAUCAACCUGCCCUUCAGAGGGGGACAACAGUUGGAAACGACUGCUAAUACCGCAUACGAUCUAAUCUCGGCAUCGAGGAUAGAUGAAAGGUGGCCUCUACAUGUAAGCUAUCACUGAAGGAGGGGAUUGCGUCUGAUUAGCUAGUUGGAGGGGUAACGGCCCACCAAGGCGAUGAGCAGUAGCCGGUCUGAGAGGAUGAACGGCCACAUUGGGACUGAGACACGGCCCAGACUCCUACGGGAGGCAGCAGUGGGGAAUCUUCCGCAAUGGACGAAAGUCUGACGGAGCAACGCCGCGUGAGUGAUGACGGCCUUCGGGUUGUAAAGCUCUGUUAAUCGGGACGAAAGGCCUUCUUGCGAAUAGUGAGAAGGAUUGACGGUACCGGAAUAGAAAGCCACGGCUAACUACGUG